CCGAAAUAAGCCAUGAGUAGUUCUUCUUUCCUCCAGUGCCCCUUAAUUGGUUACAAUUGCGCCUCAAAUAUGACACUGGGUUCCUAUGUCCGUCAUACUUCUCAAACUUUGACAUUUUAAAGCUAGGAGGAAGGUUGACACCUGGAAACAUGCAUAAGUCCUUAUAUGAGACACUUUUGUAACCCCCAAGUCCUUGCAAGUUUGUCAUAGCCAGUUCCAAACUUCUUAAUUUUCUAGUCAUUUUCUCUUGUUCUUCUGUCAUAACAGGCUUCUCAGUGUUAGGAGUAAAUUCAGGCGGGUGAGUGUCACCGUAAAAACCAGUCAACUUAAAAGUAGGCUCAGAAGUGUAAUGCUGAUCGCCAGUAAUAUUCAAUGCAGGAUCUCUUGUAGAGUAGGGAGGCACAACUCAUGGAUUAACAUCAAAAGUAGGAGCUUCAGGUGGGGGUGGUUCCGCAAAAGCAUAAAUAACAGGUGGAACCGCGUAUGUGGUAGUCUUGAAUUGGGGAGUGAGGAAAUGAACAUUGGAAGUGGUUGGAUAUUGUUGCCCUGUAGUCGAUCCUGAUGCAUGUUGUGGCAUAUCAACAAAAAUGGGAAAUUGUGCAUGUGACACAAAAGUCAAGCCAGAAAGAUAUUCCAAAUUAUCAGUGGGAACUGGGUGAGGCGGCAACCCAUUAGCCAAGCUCGAUGCAUUUCUAUCAUUUGCUGCCUUAAUUUUCGAAUCUCUUCAUUAGAUCCUAAAUUCUCAUUUCCCAAACUCCCUAUCUGAUUAGUGACACAAACUCGGUAUCCUUGUUGGCCAUAACGUUCUUUGUGACUUGGUGCAAUAUGGAGGACCAGCCAAAAUGCCACAAACCAACCACCUUAAAUUAAUUGAACAAGAGAUAACAAAUGUGUUAGAGUUCAACACUUUCUCAAAAUCUCAUUUUUUAUUCUUUUUGAAAAGGUCACCGGACCCAAGAAGGGCGCCUACGUAUCUCACAUCCUGAAAGAGGAGAAUCAGGUGUGCGUAGUUCGUGAAGUUUGGCCACAAAAUGACCGAUCAACUCUUUUUCUUUUCUUUUUGAAACUUUGAGAAGAAAAGAA
This 1083-nucleotide long non-coding RNA is filed under the name Capsicum annuum. Its description in RNAcentral is "long non-coding RNA (CANN_LNC016905)". The record is from RNAcentral. Lineage: Eukaryota; Viridiplantae; Streptophyta; Magnoliopsida; Solanales; Solanaceae.